Molecule: ribosomal RNA, 971 nt
Filed under: uncultured bacterium
Lineage: Bacteria
Description: bacterial SSU rRNA
Rfam family: Bacterial small subunit ribosomal RNA
Source: RNAcentral
GGGGAUGGUGUCGGGAUUAUUGGGCGUAAGCGCGCGCAGGCGGUCCUUUAAGUCUGAUGUGAAAGCCCACGGCUCAACCGUGGAGGGUCAUUGGAAACUGGGGGACUUGAGUGCAGGAGAGGAGAGCGGAAUUCCCAGUGUAGCGGUGAAAUGCGUAGAUAUUGGGAGGAACACCGGUGGCGAAGGCGGCUCUCUGGACUGCUACUGACGCUGAGGCGCGAAAGCUAGGGGAGCAAACGGGAUUAGAUACCCCGGUAGUCCUAGCCGUAAACGAUGGGCACUAGGUGUGGGAGGUAUCGACCCCUUCCGUGCCGCAGCUAACGCAUUAAGUGCCCCGCCUGGGGAGUACGGCCGCAAGGUUGAAACUCAAAGGAAUUGACGGGGGCCCGCACAAGCGAUGGAGCAUGUGGUUUAAUUCGACGCAACGCGAAGAACCUUACCAGGGCUUGACAUCCCGCGAACUCCUCCGAAAGGAGGGGGUGCCCGCAAGGGAGCGCGGAGACAGGUGGUGCAUGGCUGUCGUCAGCUCGUGUCGUGAGAUGUUGGGUUAAGUCCCGCAACGAGCGCAACCCUCACCCCUUGUUGCUAUCAGGUCAGGCUGGGCACUCUAGGGGAACUGCCCCGGUCAACGGGGAGGAAGGUGGGGACGACGUCAAGUCAUCAUGCCCCUUACGUCCUGGGCUACACACGUGCUACAAUGGCCGGUACAAAGGGAUGCAAGACCGCGAGGUGGAGCUAAACCCAAAAAGCCGGUCUAAGUUCAGAUUGGAGUCUGCAACUCGACUCCAUGAAGGAGGAAUCGCUAGUAAUCGCGCAUCAGCACGGCGCGGUGAAUACGUUCCCGGGCCUUGUACACACCGCCCGUCACACCACGAAAGCCAGUUGUACUCGAAGUCGCCGAGCUAACCCGCAAGGGAGGCAGGCGCCGAACGUAUGACUGGUGAUUGGGGUGAAGUCGUAACAAGGUAACC